Molecule: ribosomal RNA, 398 nt
Filed under: uncultured bacterium
Lineage: Bacteria
Description: partial 16S ribosomal RNA
Rfam family: Bacterial small subunit ribosomal RNA
Source: RNAcentral
AUACGUAGGGUGCGAGCGUUGUCCGGAAUUACUGGGCGUAAAGAGCUCGUAGGUGGUUUGUCGCGUCGUCUGUGAAAUUCCGGGGCUUAACUCCGGGCGUGCAGGCGAUACGGGCAUAACUUGAGUACUGUAGGGGAGACUGGAAUUCCUGGUGUAGCGGUGAAAUGCGCAGAUAUCAGGAGGAACACCGGUGGCGAAGGCGGGUCUCUGGGCAGUAACUGACGCUGAGGAGCGAAAGCAUGGGUAGCGAACAGGAUUAGAUACCCUGGUAGUCCAUGCCGUAAACGGUGGGCGCUAGGUGUAGGGGUCUUCCACGACUUCUGUGCCGUAGCUAACGUAUUAAGCGCCCCGCCUGGGGAGUACGGCCGCAAGGCUAAAACUCAAAUGAAUUGACGGGG